RNAcentral lists this ribosomal RNA (301 nucleotides) under uncultured bacterium. RNAcentral's name for it is "partial 16S ribosomal RNA". It matches the Rfam family "Bacterial small subunit ribosomal RNA", at positions 509 to 809 of the family's 1533-position model. The record is from RNAcentral.
CAGCAGCCACGGUAAUACGUAGGUGGCAAGCGUUGUCCGGAAUUAUUGGGCGUAAAGCGCGCGCAGGUGGUUUAAUAAGUCUGAUGUGAAAGCCCACGGCUCAACCGUGGAGGGUCAUUGGAAACUGUUAAACUUGAGUGCAGGAGAGAAAAGUGGAAUUCCUAGUGUAGCGGUGAAAUGCGUAGAGAUUAGGAGGAACACCAGUGGCGAAGGCGGCUUUUUGGCCUGUAACUGACACUGAGGCGCGAAAGCGUGGGGAGCAGACAGGAUUAGAUACCCCAGUAGUCCCUGUCUCUUAUAU